CUCGAGCGUCUUGAUUAAAUCUCGCGAUGCGCCAAACUAUCCGCGCGAUUUACACGUUAUCACAUCCCACGCAUCUCGAAAGUUUCGCGGAAGCCACGCGUUUACAAGUCAUCUUGCGACAAUCGUAUCUCGCGUGCUCCACUUUACUCAUCCCCUUCCGUCAACGCAGCACGCGACACGUUUAUCGCUGGCACGCGUCCUCGCGUUACCGACAGAGCAAACUCGUUACUAGGUUAGAAUCCGCUGAAAAGGGAUGCUAGCGAGAGUGCACGGGGGUGGUGAGCGAUCGUCGCUUCUCCCCUCCGUCAGGCGCGCGCGACCCCUCUUCACCCUCGCCGUUUCUCGCAGUUUCCAGGAUCUCCGGAAAACUUUGCUGGAAAGCGGCAGGCGGCGGCUGCCGGGUGGGGAGUUGGCGAAUACAUACAGGGUAGGUAGACUACGAGUAGGGGAAACGGUUCCCUUUGCUCCGCCGAGCCACCCCCUAUCCACCAGCCACCCUUUUGUCUGUCUGUGUGUAAGCACGAACGCGGUAAAUAAAAAAGUUUUAUGUCACUCGCGAAUUCGUCGGCGCCGGCAAUGCGCAGGCACCAACAUGGCCGCGCACUUCGCGAAACUUUGUCGAAACACCUACAGAUUAUCAAACAACAGCUACACGAGAGCGUUUACUCACGGAGCGGCAGGGAUAGUUAGGAAGAAACUAAUAUUCUCGAACGAACCGAGCGAGCUGAAUACUAAACGCGCCUCUUUUGCUAAUUGCGAGUGUUCAUCUCAGAACAGAUGCAAUUUUUGGAAAACAGUAGUCAGGGCUGAAAUAUAUAACAAAUGAUCACCUGUCAACUGAAAACUGUUACUUGAUGUAUAUAAUCUAAUGCGUGACGAUACUGCGAGCCUUUGUCACGUAUUUAACUAAUCAAUACUUAAAAUCCGUAACAAUAAUCAUUUAUUCAGCUUCAUCAAUCAGUAAGAAAACUUUUGUUCGUGUAAUUAUAAAGCGUGCAAAUGUACAUAUUAAAUUGAAUUACAUAGAAACGAAACAGCUGACUGCACGGUCCGCUUAUAGGGCGUAACGUAUUCAAUUACUGAUCUGCUAUUAAAACUUGAGGUGAAGAUCUCGCGAGACAAUGGUACGAGCGCACGAAGCACGUGGCGGAUGUUUGGAAAAGUGUCUCUGUAUCGAAUCGAGUGGAAGGAAGACACGCGAGUGCCAUCACUCCGAUGGAAAUGAAAGAGGGAACGCUGCAUCUGCUCGACAUAGACCGACUCUCGAGUGCAUACGAUGGUUUCUUUCUGGUCGUCGGAAGCUGUCUACUCGUGGCACGGUAGCCGUACCUGGUUGCCUGCCGCCUGCCCUCGUGGGAGUCAGCUAAGGGAAAUCAAUAUCUCACUAGGGGUAGAGGAACACGAGGAAGAGAGAGACGAAGCAGCGAGAGUAGGAGCCGGCAAAGGUGGAGAAGGAAGAUGAGGAGGACGCGGCAAAGAAGCAAGAGAGGAGACGCGAACGCGGUGGGAGGGUGGUCGCGCGCUCGUCGACUUCGCUCCCUCGCGGCCCUCCGCGGCCGUAGUGCCACGCGUGAACUCGACCGCCGCGGUAGCACGCGUGAACCCGCGCCAGCGAUCGCCGACCAAUCACCCCGCGCUAUCGCGUGGCGGUUGUUUUUAUCGGUCGCGUACCGGUUCGGCAGCGGUCAGAAGUCACUGCGAUUCACAAACUGAAAAUUGAUUGCUGGUACACAGAUACGCGAUGUGCUGAGCACACACAUAAAUCGGCCUGUCACAUACAUGUGACGCGUGAUAGCGAAUAUUUUAAACUUUUUAAAGGAAUCUGAGAUUUGCGUUAUUUUUGUAAUCUCGUGAGAUGUUGUUAUGAAUACAUGAUGCAUAUCAUUUUCAUAAUGAAAUAUUUAUUCAAAAAUAUCGAGUAUAUGUAAAGUGCUACUUACUUGAAGAAUAAAACAAACGGAGAAAAUGUA
Molecule: long non-coding RNA, 1970 nt
Filed under: Ooceraea biroi (clonal raider ant)
Lineage: Eukaryota; Metazoa; Arthropoda; Insecta; Hymenoptera; Formicidae
Description: uncharacterized LOC105284578, transcript variant X1
Source: RNAcentral